UACGAAGGGGGCUAGCGUUGCUCGUAAUCACUGGGCGUAAAGCGCACGUAGGCGGACUCUUAAGUCGGUGGUGAAAUCCUGGAGCUCAACUCCAGAACUGCCUUCGAUACUGAGAGUCUCGAGUCCGGGAGAGGUGAGUGGAACUGCGAGUGUAGAGGUGAAAUUCGUAGAUAUUCGCAAGAACACCAGUGGCGAAGGCGGCUCACUGGCCCGGUACUGACGCUGAGGUGCGAAAGCGUGGGAGCAAACAGG
RNAcentral lists this ribosomal RNA (252 nucleotides) under uncultured bacterium. RNAcentral describes it as "partial 16S ribosomal RNA". It matches the Rfam family "Bacterial small subunit ribosomal RNA", at positions 524 to 776 of the family's 1533-position model. The record is from RNAcentral.